GACGAACGCUGGCGGCGUGCCUAAUACAUGCAAGUUGAGCGAUGAAGAUUGGUGCUUGCACCAAUUUGAAGAGCAGCGAACGGGUGAGUAACGCGUGGGGAAUCUGCCUUUGAGCGGGGGACAACAUUUGGAAACGAAUGCUAAUACCGCAUAACAACUUUAAACAUAAGUUUUAAGUUUGAAAGAUGCAAUUGCAUCACUCAAAGAUGAUCCCGCGUUGUAUUAGCUAGUUGGUGAGGUAAAGGCUCACCAAGGCGAUGAUACAUAGCCGACCUGAGAGGGUGAUCGGCCACAUUGGGACUGGGACACGGCCCAAACUCCUACGGGAGGCAGCAGUAGGGGAUCUUCGGCAAUGGACGAAAGUCUGACCGAGCAACGCCGCGUGAGUGAAGAAGGUUUUCGGAUCGUAAAACUCUGUUGGUAGAGAAGAACGUUGGUGAGAGUGGAAAGCUCAUCAAGUGACGGUAACUACCCAGAAAGGGACGGCUAACUACGUG
RNAcentral lists this ribosomal RNA (497 nucleotides) under uncultured bacterium. RNAcentral's name for it is "partial 16S ribosomal RNA". It matches the Rfam family "Bacterial small subunit ribosomal RNA", at positions 28 to 507 of the family's 1533-position model. The record is from RNAcentral.